UACGUAGGGUGCGAGCGUUGUCCGGAAUUAUUGGGCGUAAAGAGCUCGUAGGCGGCUUGUCGCGUCGUCCGUGAAAACCCACAGCUCAACUGUGGGCUUGCGGUCGAUACGGGCAGGCUAGAGUUCGGUAGGGGAGACUGGAAUUCCUGGUGUAGCGGUGAAAUGCGCAGAUAUCAGGAGGAACACCGGUGGCGAAGGCGGGUCUCUGGGCCGAUACUGACGCUGAGGAGCGAAAGCGUGGGGAGCGAACAGG
This 253-nucleotide ribosomal RNA is filed under the name uncultured bacterium. RNAcentral describes it as "partial 16S ribosomal RNA". It matches the Rfam family "Bacterial small subunit ribosomal RNA", at positions 524 to 776 of the family's 1533-position model. The record is from RNAcentral.